Molecule: ribosomal RNA, 252 nt
Filed under: uncultured Bacteroidales bacterium
Lineage: Bacteria; Pseudomonadati; Bacteroidota; Bacteroidia; Bacteroidales
Description: partial 16S ribosomal RNA
Rfam family: Bacterial small subunit ribosomal RNA
Source: RNAcentral
UACGUAGGUGGCGAGCGUUAUCCGGAAUGAUUGGGCGUAAAGGGUGCGCAGGCGGGUUAUCAAGUCAGCGGUAAAAUCGUGGGGCUCAACCCCAUCCAGCCGUUGAAACUGGGGAUCUAGAGUGUGCGAGAGGUAUGCGGAAUGCGUGGUGUAGCGGUGAAAUGCAUAGAUAUCACGCAGAACUCCGAUUGCGAAGGCAGCAUACCGGCGCCCAACUGACGCUGAAGCACGAAAGCGUGGGUAUCGAACAGG